GAGUUAAGUCAUACAAGAGAAAGCUUCUAACUUUAAUCUUAAGCAGUGAAAUUCUGUUUUUAACUCU
RNAcentral lists this transfer RNA (67 nucleotides) under Scolytinae sp. BMNH 1040080. RNAcentral describes it as "tRNA-Ser". Lineage: Eukaryota; Metazoa; Arthropoda; Insecta; Coleoptera; Curculionidae. The record is from RNAcentral.